UAGGGAAUCUUCCACAAUGGACGCAAGUCUGAUGGAGCAACGCCGCGUGAGUGAAGAAGGUUUUCGGACCGUAAAGCUCUGUUGUUGGUGAAGAAGGAUAGAGGUAGUAACUGGCCUUUAUUUGACGGUAAUCAACCAGAAAGUCACGGCUAACUACGUGCCAGCAGCCGCGGUAAUACGUAGGUGGCAAGCGUUGUCCGGAUUUAUUGGGCGUAAAGCGAGCGCAGGCGGAAGAAUAAGUCUGAUGUGAAAGCCCUCGGCUUAACCGAGGAAUUGCAUCGGAAACUGUUUUCUUGAGUGCAGAAGAGGAGAGUAGAACUCCAUGUGUAGCGGUGGAAUGCGUAGAUAUAUGGAAGAAUACCAGUGGCGAAGGCGGCUCUCUGGUCUGCAACUGACGCUGAGGCUCGAAAGCAUGGGUAGCGAACAGGAUUAGAUACCCUGGUGGUCCAUGCCGUAAACGAUGAGUGCUAAGUGUUGGGAGGCUUCCGCCUCUCAGUGCUGCAGCUAACGCAUUAAGCACUCCGCCUGGGGGAGUACGACCGCAAGGUUGAAAC
Molecule: ribosomal RNA, 554 nt
Filed under: uncultured bacterium
Lineage: Bacteria
Description: partial 16S ribosomal RNA
Rfam family: Bacterial small subunit ribosomal RNA
Source: RNAcentral